ACUCGACUCGACUCCAUGAAGUCGGAAUCGCUAGUAAUCGUGGAUCAGAAUGCCACGGUGAAUACGUUCCCGGGCCUUGUACACACCGCCCGUCACACCAUGGGAGUGGGUUGCAAAAGAAGUAGGUAGCUUAACCUUCGGGAGGGCGCUUACCACUUUGUGAUUCAUGACUGGGGUGAAGUCGUAACAAGGUAACCGUAGGGGAACCUGCGGUUGGAUCACCUCCUUA
RNAcentral lists this ribosomal RNA (229 nucleotides) under Salmonella enterica. RNAcentral's name for it is "partial 16S ribosomal RNA". It matches the Rfam family "Bacterial small subunit ribosomal RNA", at positions 1304 to 1533 of the family's 1533-position model. The record is from RNAcentral. Lineage: Bacteria; Pseudomonadati; Pseudomonadota; Gammaproteobacteria; Enterobacterales; Enterobacteriaceae.